Molecule: long non-coding RNA, 313 nt
Filed under: Ananas comosus (pineapple)
Lineage: Eukaryota; Viridiplantae; Streptophyta; Magnoliopsida; Poales; Bromeliaceae
Description: long non-coding RNA (ACOM_LNC038181)
Source: RNAcentral
UCAAUCGAUACUACUUUUAUUCCUGUUAUUGACAAUUCAACCAAUUGACUUCUAAGUUUUCCUCUAUCUUAGAUUCUUGUCAGUUACAAUUCUGCUCAUAAGGUUUAACCUGCUUUCAUAAGCUAUCCACUCGACCCGGUCUUGAGUCAAUCAUACGCGGAAUACCGCACAAAACCAGGCUCAAGGUGAAGGAUGUCUCACAUGCACCUCGGCCCUAAAUCCACUCAACUGAAAUGCAACUAAAACUCAUACCAUGCAUCAAAUAGUAAAGGUUUACUAUCAUGCUAACAAAUUCGAUCCAUGUUCGAAUAAU